AUCAGGGAACACGCCCAUUUCAUAACUAUCUAUCUAUCUUAUUUAUUUCUUCAUCCACCCAUCAUCCACGCUUCCAUCCACCCACUCACUCAUCCGUCCUUCCAUCCACCCACUCACCCAUCCAUCCAUCCAUUUCUUCAUCCAUCAUCCAUAUCUUCACCCAUCCUCUAUCAUCCACCCAUCCAUCCGUCCAUCCAUCCUUCCAUCCACCCACCCAUCCAUCCAUCCAUCAUCUACACAUCCAUCCAUACGUCUGUCCAUUCAUUUAUCUCUCCAUCCAUCCAUUAUCCAUCCAUCCAUCCAUACACCCAUUUCUUCCAUCCAUACACCCAUUUCUUCCAUCCAUACACCCAUUUCGUCCAUCCAUUCAUCCAUCCAUCAUUUACACAUCCAUCCAUACAUCUGUCCAUUCAUUUAUCUCUCCAUCCAUCCAUCCAUUAUCCAUCCAUCCAUCCAUCAUCUACACAUCCAUCCAUACAUCUGUCCAUUCAUUUAUCUCUCCAUCCACCCAUUAUCCAUCCAUCCAUCUAUCCAUACACCCAUUUCUUCCAUCCAUCCAUCCACCCAUCAUUUACACAUCCGUCCAUACAUCUGUCUAUUCAUUUAUCUCUCCAUCCAUCCAUCCAUUAUCCAUCCAUCCAUCCAUCCUCUACCUAUCCAUCCAUACAUCUGUCCAUUCAGCUCUCCAUCCAUCCGUCCAUCCAUCCUUCCAUCCACCCAUCCAUCCACUCAUUCAUCCAUCUGCUCUUCCAUCCAUCACACAUAUCUCACCCCUCCUCCAUUCUAGAGAAUGGUAUGAAGGACAGGACACUGUUCCUGCCCUGGAAGAGGAUUAAAGUCCCAGGUGAACAGAGGGUACAAAGGCUGUGGCUCCUCAGGAGGAAAAGCCUUGAGCCCCAGCCAGCCUCCAGCACCCAGGCUGGGCUGAGCUUUUCAUCAGGGGCCUCACCACGGGGGACAUUGGGGGUGAGGAGGCAGAACUCAGGACAGGCAGCCAAGGAAGACCUCCUGCCCCUGAGCUGGCCCCGCACGAUGGCUAAGGAUGGCAGGGCCUUCCCACGCCUUCCCUGGAAGACCUCACGCAGCCCAGCCGGACAGAAGCGAAUGGACGGGCCACACUGGGAAGGACGUUUGCGAUGUCUAAAACCGACGGACACUUGGUAUCUAGAACUCCACACGUCAAAUUACACAGCAGCACGACGACGCGGCCUUGGCCGGAAACUAGGGGACGACGCCAAAUGGCAAUUUGCAGCAGGGAAAACCCAGGAGGUGCAGAGGCUAAAGUCAUUAGGAAUCCAGACAUGCAAAUAAAGCCACGCUGUGUGCCCAUUGGACUGGUGAACACGGAGGCACCCGUCGUGCUGAGCACCGCCAGGAUCUCGGGGGGCCCCGCGCCCUGCAGGGAGCCAGGAUUGGGGGCGGGUCUGUCUCCACGUCAUCGACCAACUGUCCUGGAGGGACCUGCAACUUCCCGCCCAAACCCAGUCACUCUUGCAGCCAAAGGGACAAGUGGCGAACACUGGCGAGCAAACACUGGCAAACACUGGUGAACACGGGCAAACACUGGCAAACACUGGGGUGUCUGUAGACUCUUAGGGACGUGCAAUCUCUCUGCCUGGGGUCAGCAGCUCCCCAGGAGGCCCCGAGGUCCCUGAGUGUAGGCCCCAGUGCUUGCUGUGGCCACAGUGGGC
Pan paniscus (pygmy chimpanzee) is the source of this 1691-nucleotide long non-coding RNA. Lineage: Eukaryota; Metazoa; Chordata; Mammalia; Primates; Hominidae. The record is from Ensembl.